This 757-nucleotide ribosomal RNA is filed under the name Gryon cultratum. RNAcentral describes it as "eukaryotic LSU rRNA". It matches the Rfam family "Eukaryotic large subunit ribosomal RNA", at positions 376 to 920 of the family's 3401-position model. The record is from RNAcentral. Lineage: Eukaryota; Metazoa; Arthropoda; Insecta; Hymenoptera; Scelionidae.
UCGAAAGAAGAGACUCAUCGUCAGUGUAAUUGGCUAUCAUGUAAUUUUACGAUGUGUUGAGAUUUAUUUUAAUGCACGUUAUUACUGUGAUUGUGUCUAAUUACGUCGGCGUGCACUUCUCUUCUAGUAGAACGUCGCGACCCGCUGAGUGUUGGUUUAAGGAUUGAUGUUGUUGACUAUAUCGUCGCUUUUUGCGUUACGUGUUAGACACAUUUAAUUCCCAAUCAACUGCUCGGCGGUAUAAUGUUAAUGGUAUCAAGUCGCACUCAAAUGCGUUUUUGACUUGUUGCAAGCUUGAUCAUUUUUUAUAUUAACCUGGAUUACGGACCUAGUGCCGUACCCGGGAGUGAUUAGCUGUUGGUUGACAAUGUUCUCAAACUGGCUUUUAUUGCAUUUAAGCAAGAUACCGGUCUGCGACGCUAUUGCUUUGGGUACUUUCAGGACCCGUCUUGAAACACGGACCAAGGAGUCUAACAUGUACGCAAGUCAUUGGGAUUUAUUUAUUAAACCUAAAGGCGUAUUGAAAGAGAAGAUCGGUCUUGUGCCGAUUAAGGGAGGAUAAGUAUUGAUAAUUUAAUAAUGCUUCGCACUCCCGGGGCGUCUCUUAAAGUCAUUGCGACUUGAGGUGCACCUAGAGCGUACACGUUUGGACCCGAAAGAUGGUGAACUAUGCCUGGUCAGGAUGAAGUCAGGGGAAACCCUGAUGGAGGUCCGUAGCGUAUCUGACGUGCAAAUCGAUCGUCGGAACUGGGUAUAG